RNAcentral lists this ribosomal RNA (490 nucleotides) under uncultured bacterium. RNAcentral's name for it is "partial 16S ribosomal RNA". It matches the Rfam family "Bacterial small subunit ribosomal RNA", at positions 30 to 507 of the family's 1533-position model. The record is from RNAcentral.
AUUGAACGCUGGCGGCAGGCCUAACACAUGCAAGUCGAACGGUAACAGGAAGACGCUUGCUUCUUUGCUGACGAGUGGCGGACGGGUGAGUAAUGUCUGGGAAACUGCCUGAUGGAGGGGGAUAACUACUGGAAACGGUAGCUAAUACCGCAUAACGUCGCAAGACCACAGAGGGGGACCUUCGGGCCUCUUGCCCUCGGAUGUGCCCAGAUGGGAUUAGCUAGUAGGUGGGGGAACGGCUCACCUAGGCGACGAUCCCUGGCUGGUCUGAGAGGAUGACCAGCCACACUGGAACUGAGACACGGUCCAGACUCCUACGGGAGGCAGCAGUGGGGAAUAUUGCACAAUGGGCGCAAGCCUGAUGCAGCCAUGCCGCGUGUAUGAAGAAGGCCUUCGGGUUGUAAAGUACUUUCAGCGGGGAGGAAGGGAGUAAAGUUAAUACCUUUGCUCAUUGACGUUACCCGCAGAAGAAGCACCGGCUAACUCCGUG